AGCUCCAAUAGCGUAUAUUAAAGUUGUUGCAGUUAAAAAGCUCGUAGUUGAACUUCAGGCCUGGCCGGUCGGUCCGCUUCACAGCGUGUACUGCUUGGCCGGGCCUUCCCUCUAGGUGAUCCGGCAUGCUCUUUACUGGGUGUGUCGGGGAACCUGGACUUUUACUUUGAAAAAAUUAGAGUGUUCAAAGCAGGCCUAUGCCCGAAUAUAUUAGCAUGGAAUAAUAAAAUAGGACGUGCGUUUCUAUUUUGUUGGUUUCUAGAAUCGCCGUAAUGAUUAAUAGGGAUAGUUGGGGGCAUUAGUAUUCACAUGCUAGAGGUGAAAUUCUUGGAUUUUGUGAAGACUAACUUCUGCGAAAGCAUUUGCCAAGGAUGUUUUCA
This 380-nucleotide ribosomal RNA is filed under the name uncultured eukaryote. RNAcentral's name for it is "SSU rRNA". It matches the Rfam family "Eukaryotic small subunit ribosomal RNA", at positions 587 to 972 of the family's 1831-position model. The record is from RNAcentral.